Molecule: long non-coding RNA, 1394 nt
Organism: Prionailurus viverrinus (fishing cat)
Lineage: Eukaryota; Metazoa; Chordata; Mammalia; Carnivora; Felidae
Exons: 3
Source: RefSeq, a predicted model, not a curated record
AUGUCUGCCGGGGGUGGAGGGGGGCAAAGAGGAAGUCCGAGGGGUCGGGCCAAAGCACUGGAUGACUAUUACUACGAGAAAGACCACUUACUAAACAUGCAGGAGGAAAGCAUUUAGAGAGAACUGGGAGCACCAUGCGUAGAAGACUGCGUGAACAGGCCCCGUGAGGACGUAGGGAGACCUCCUUGUUUACAGUUGAAAGCUGCUGGCCACGAUAAACCUCGCGGGUGAAGGUUUCCACAGAAGGGGGUCAGAGAGAGAGAGAUGAGUGUAAUGAACAAGCAACGUUAGCACGUGUGUGCGUGUGUGUGUGUGUGUGUGUGUGUGUGUGUGUGUAAUGAGGUGGUCAUAGUACUGAUCACCAGCAACGCCCAAGUGCUUCAUGUACAAUUUCAUUUAGUUUUUACAGAACCCCUAGGAGAUCCACAUGUUCAUUUCCAUUUAGAGAAGCAUGAACUUUAAAGUUAAGCAACCGGCACAAAGUCUCCAGAAGGUAAACGCAGAAAGUGUCGAUCUGCGGGAAGAGCCCAAGGAGGGAAAUCGCAGGGAAGCAAUAUAAAAAUACUGGAAGUGAACAGACAAAGUUGACGAAGGAAGGUCUGCAGGCCGAGUGGAAACAUGCCUGCAGAAGUAACAAGGGGCCGUGUCCGAGGAAGAGGCCUAGACGAGGACCCAGGAGAGACCUCGGGUGGUGAGGGAGGCAGUGGACCAGUCCACAGUUUGCAAGAGCAGCUUUGCAUGUGGGGGGCAUGAGCAUGGGAGGAAGAAUCUGGGAAACUCCAGAAACAGGCAAACCUAAAGGGUGGUAGGUGGGCGGGUCUCUCCCUGCAUGGGGGCGGGGGGUGCCAACAUCGGAGCUGGGGGCUCCUCACUUUGUGCCUCUGUCCCCUGGUGCACUUGACGUGCUGAGCAUCACCACAUCUAAAUGCCAACCACAGAUUCGAGUUCAGUGGGAACUCCAGGUUCGCAGAGGAACAAGGGAGGGUGGUGAUUAAGACGCCACCACAGGUGAUGGUGGGGCACUGAAGGGACUGACUCCCUGGACACUGGAGCAUCUGGGACACGAAGGUAGCCCUGCCUGGCCAGAGGACCGUGUUCCGUCCCAAAAUUGUAACAGUGCAGCUGGAUAAAACAUCCACAUGCCAGGACUCCACCUGUCCCCCAGAUCAUUUGUUAGAGGAAAUAAGACGUACCAGAGCUGCGUUUCACAGCUACUUCCCUAUUAUCCUCUCUUGAUCAAGUCUUUGUAAGUUGGCUUUCAUAGAAACACAGAAUCUCCCAUUCCUUCUGCUAUAAUACAUCUGUCUUCUGUCUCAGUUUAUUGAGUAGCAUGUCAAUGUAGUUCGAUACUGGUAAGCCUUAAUAAAACUAAGGAAAUUUGAUUUGAAAUCCCA